GAGAUGCACGCUCUAGUUACUAUUUACAAUACCUUGUGACUCGAGAAAUGCGCAGCUCUAGUGUGCAAACUGUGAGUGACAAAGUAGCUGCUAUCACUCUGGGUGUAUCCAUAUGCUAUACAGACUGUUGGUUGGUGUUGUCAACACUGACGGUGAGAAGAGGAAGCUUCAGUUGUCACAGUAGCUGCUAUGAAUGUGGGGUGUGUCCAUAUGCUAUACGGACUGUUGGUUGGUGUUGUCAACACUGACGGUGAGGAGAGGAAACUUCAGUUGACACAGUUGUCUUCCGUCUCGUGUUCCUUGUAGGCUGCACAGAUAGCAUAGACGGACCACGCUGAUUGUAUGAUGGUCAUGUAUCGGAUUUCACGACUGAUGCUACUGACAUUCGUUGGCUUCACAGAACACGUAGGUUCUUUAGUCCUGACAAGUUCCCCCAUGACAGUGACAGAUGGAGAACUGUUCACCCUGAUCUGCAGCAGAAACACAACUGUGGGAC
Long non-coding RNA from Haliotis rubra (blacklip abalone), 496 nucleotides. RefSeq lists it as uncharacterized. Lineage: Eukaryota; Metazoa; Mollusca; Gastropoda; Lepetellida; Haliotidae. The transcript has 3 exons. The record is from RefSeq and is a predicted model, not a curated record.